AAGAGACAGCAGUCGCCGCGGGAAUACGUAGGUCCCGAGCGUUGUCCGGAUUCAUUGGGCGUAAAGCGAGCGCAAGCGGUUAGAUAAGUCUGAAGUUAAAGGCUGUGGCUUAACCAUAGUACGCUUUGGAAACUGUUUAACUUGAGUGCAAGAGGGGAGAGUGGAAUUCCAUGUGUAGCGGUGAAAUGCGUAGAUAUAUGGAGGAACACCGGUGGCGAAAGCGGCUCUCUGGCUUGUAACUGACGCUGAGGUUCGAAAGCGUGAGGAGCAAACAGGAUUAGAUACCCCCGUAGUCCCUGUCUCUUAUACA
RNAcentral lists this ribosomal RNA (310 nucleotides) under uncultured bacterium. Its description in RNAcentral is "partial 16S ribosomal RNA". It matches the Rfam family "Bacterial small subunit ribosomal RNA", at positions 503 to 808 of the family's 1533-position model. The record is from RNAcentral.